RNAcentral lists this ribosomal RNA (192 nucleotides) under Arthrobacter sp. ov407. RNAcentral's name for it is "23S rRNA. Bacterial LSU". It matches the Rfam family "Bacterial large subunit ribosomal RNA", at positions 2739 to 2925 of the family's 2925-position model. The record is from RNAcentral. Lineage: Bacteria; Bacillati; Actinomycetota; Actinomycetes; Micrococcales; Micrococcaceae.
CGCUGAUUAGCUACGUUCGGAUGGGAUAACCGCUGAAAGCAUCUAAGCGGGAAGCUCGCUUCGAGAUGAGAUUUCCAUACACCUUGUGUGUGAGAGGCCCCCAGCCAGACCACUGGGUUGAUAGGCCGGAUGUGGAAGCGAGGACUAACGACUCGUGAAGCUGACCGGUACUAAUAGGCCGAUAACUUACAC